CUGCAGAUGGAGGUCAGGACCCUGGAAAGGAGGCAGGGUCUGCAGGAUCAUGGAGUGUCCUUUCAGAGAUGCUAUGAGAAAGCAUGGGUGCAAGGUCACUGGACACCUAUGGGAUGGCCUGGGAGUAGACCCAGGGUCAGGGACAGCUGGGUGACCCCAGCCGACCAAGGGAAGUCAGUGGGCGUAGUGAACAGGCUGGAGGUGGCCGUACCCUCCUGGCACGUGCUGGCCCCCCGGUGCCUGGGGCAGGGGUGAGGUGCACAGACUGCCCAGGGAACAGCACAUAGAGCACUUGGGGGAGGUCUGUCCUUCAGUGGAGAGCUGGGCUCCGAGGUUCUCCUUCAGCUGCCAGCUGGGCCAGUGGCACAGUGCGCAUCGUGUGGCCUGUUGCUAGGAUGCAGCUUUGGAACGUGCGAGGGAAGAAUGGGCUCAUGCGAACAUUCUGGAGGAAAGGGCACAUGUGCAGAGGACUUGUGAGGACCUGGGGUGGGACAUACUUAACAUAUGACCCAACAUGCCACUCCUGGGAAGGUAACCAACAACUUAUCACAAAACCCGUGUGUGAUGAAUGUUUGUGCUGCCUUAUUCAAAUUUCCGCACAUAGGCCUAUUGAGGUUGUCCAGUUUUUCUUGAAUGGGUUUGUAAGGAUUUUUAGUUGUCCUAGGAAUAACACUAUGUGUAUGAAUUGUUCCACAGUUUAAUUAGACUUAGCGUUUUACCAGGUAGACAAAAUGUCGAAGCCCUGUAACCACAUAGAUUCUUCUACCUUCCACUCUGUUAGAGAUGUCACGCGUGUCACCUUUAUAUGAUUUGAACGCCACCCCCUGAGACUCUGGUGUACUUUUUUCAUUCAAAGUCAUACGUAUAUUAAAUAAUUUAAGAGGAGAGAAAUAGGCCCUCACUUUUAUCCAGAGAUGACCGUUUCUGUUGCCCUUUCUCUGUUCCCGAAGUUGCAGGCUGCUCUGUCAUUUCACCUCAGCCUGAAGAAGUUCGUCUCACACAGUGUUUUAUAGCAAGUUGUCUGCUGAUGAAUUCUCCUAGGUUUCGCUCAUCUCCAUCAGUUGAAAGAUGCUUCCAUAUACAUCGACUACGACUAUGACAUGAAGGGAUGUUCCUGUGGAUCAGAAUUACUAGGACAGAGCUCCAGCUACCAUUUCACUACAAUGUCAGAAAUAGUCAACUAAAGUUCCUUCGCUGUGUGACUUAUGAGUCUUCCUGUGGGGAAUGUGGGAAAAAAGAGUAACAUUAUCAUGGGUGUGCUAAGGGUUUUGUGCUGUGCACGGGAUUUUAGUGCUAUAUUUGCAUGAUGAGAGUUACUGAACCCUCCAACAAGAGAGGAAUCUUUGAAUUCUUGCACACUACCAUUCAGCAGACUCCACAGUAGCCUGGUCGCAUAUCCAGGGAUGUGGAGGAUGGAGCCAGGGUUGCACUGAUAUUGCCUGAAUCCCCAUGUGGAGGAGCCAAGAUGAUUGAGGGCAAGUAUAUGCAGGGAGUGGGGAAGGAGUACAGAGGGAGGAUGUGGGCUGCUAGGGGCUAGUGUAGGUACUGAAGAACCAGUGCUAAUACACCUAACCAAGAAGUAUCAAAUCAGAAAUCAUAUAAGGCUGCCCUUGUUUGUGGAUGCAAGAAUCUCCAUGUAACAUAAGUCAGGUUCUUCCAGGAUGUGGCAUCAGGGAAGGACCUGAAUACUAUCUCUAUAGACCAGGUCUAAUUAAAGCAUAAAACCAUAAAACACUAUGGCUGUCAAUUGUUAUCUGUAAAAUAAGGAUGUUAGUAUCUUCCUUGUGAUCAUCAGUAGAGUAGCUAAAGCCUUCUUGCUGUGACCCUAGGCAAAGAGACUGCUUCCCCUGUUUGUCUUACAUCGUUCUUCAUGCAAGUGUGGUUUGAGCUGGCAGAUUCACUGCCAUGUGAAGGGUUAGGCUUUCAGGACAGGUAUAUGUACAAGUGGUGGAAAAGACUGAAGUCUCAUGGCUUCUUUUUCUUUUGUCAGCUUUGUCUGCUUAGUUAUCAGACUUUCCUUUGGUGGGAAGUCUAAGGAAGAUGGGGCAGCCGAGCUCUUGAGAAUGCACCCACAGGUGAGUAGGAACUUGCUCUCGCUCCUCAAUUGAUGCUUCUGUUACCAGCGGAUAGGUAGGUUUCUCCCAUUGGCCUGGAUCUUCUCGGUGCAAGCAGGAAAUGUUAGUCUGUUAUGUUUCGGUAGGGUUCUGGGAGGCUUAUGGCAGGUCCAGGACUGAUAAAUAAAUAACCUCCUUCCUACAUUUACACUAAUUUAGUCAAUUCUCCAUUAAAAAUGUCCUUGCAGAGAAGAGAUGUGAAUGGUUUUUUCUUUUUCCUUAUCCAGCCCAUAGCCUUGGUGGAGAAAUAAGUCGCUCGUUAACAUUGUUAGUGACUACAGUGGCCUUAGGCAAGUGGUUAACAGGUGUGGAGAUGAGUAAGAGUGAAGGUUCUAUUCCAGUAUUGGGGGAUAUUUCAUCAAGUGAGUUCAAUCAAUCCAGUGUCACAGGGGCGGGGGUGGAGGCUGUGUAGCCUUGAGGUGGUGGGUUCAAGAGAGGAUUGGACCACAGAGAGCAAUGAAGAGUCAUCUAUUUAUUUUCACCAAUUUUGAAUUUAUUAAAAUUUUAUAAAAAAUACUUUGACAUUUUGGUAACUUAAAAAAAGGUAACUAGACCCGGCACUAGUGAUCUAGUGGAUAAGGUUCAUUGCUCUCACUGCUGCGGCCUGGGUUCAUUUCACGGUCUUAGAACCCCACCACCCAUCUGCCAGUUGUCAUACUGUGGCAGUGGCUCACUGAGAACUAGACUAGCAACUAGGAUACACAAGCAUGCACUGAAGCUUUAAAA
Non-coding RNA from Equus caballus (horse), 2840 nucleotides. Lineage: Eukaryota; Metazoa; Chordata; Mammalia; Perissodactyla; Equidae. The record is from RefSeq and is a predicted model, not a curated record.